CCUACGGAGUGCAGCAGUGGGGAAUAUUGCGCAAUGGGCGAAAGCCUGACGCAGCGACGCCGCGUGAGGGAUGAAGGUCUUCGGAUCGUAAACCUCUGUCAGCAGGGAAGAACGGGCACUGUGCUAAUCAGCAGUGAAUUGACGGAACCUGCAAAGGAAGCACCGGCUAACUCCGUGCCAGCAGCCGCGGUAAUACGGAGGGUACGAGCGUUAAUCGGAAUUACUGGGCGGAAAGGGCUCGUAGGCGGUAUGUCAAGUCAAGGGGGAAAUCCCCGCGCUCAACGUGGGAACUGCCUUUGAAACUGGCACACUGGAGUGUGUGAGAGGAUAGUGGAAUUCCAGGUGUAGGAGUGAAUUCCGUAGAUAUCUGGAGGAACAUCAGUGGCGAAGGCGACUAUCUGGCACAUAACUGACGCUGAGGAGCGAAAGCGUGGGUAGCAAACAGGAUUAGAUACCCUUGUAGUC
This 465-nucleotide ribosomal RNA is filed under the name uncultured bacterium. Its description in RNAcentral is "partial 16S ribosomal RNA". It matches the Rfam family "Bacterial small subunit ribosomal RNA", at positions 338 to 795 of the family's 1533-position model. The record is from RNAcentral.